CCUACGGGAGGCAGCAGUGGGGAAUUUUGGACAAUGGGCGCAAGCCUGAUCCAGCUAUUCCGCGUGUGGGAAGACGGCCUUCGGGUUGUAAACCACUUUUGUAGAGAACGAAAAGUCUAUUGAUAAUACCGAUAGAUGAUGACGGUACUCUAAGAAUAAGCACCGGCUAACUACGUGCCAGCAGCCGCGGUAAUACGUAGGGUGCGAGCGUUAAUCGGAAUUACUGGGCGUAAAGGGUGUGCAGGAGGUUUUGCAAGAUGGAUGUGAAAGCCCCGGGCUUAACCUGGGAAAGCCAUACAUGACUGCAAGACUAGAGUGCGUCAGAGGGGGGUGGAAUUCCAAGUGUAGCAGUGAAAUGCGUAGAUAUUUGGAAGAACACCGAUGGCGAAGGCAGCCCCCUGGGACGCAACUGACGCUCAUACACGAAAGCGUGGGGAGCAAACAGGAUUAGAUACCCUUGUAGUC
Molecule: ribosomal RNA, 465 nt
Filed under: uncultured bacterium
Lineage: Bacteria
Description: partial 16S ribosomal RNA
Rfam family: Bacterial small subunit ribosomal RNA
Source: RNAcentral